CAGGAAUGAAGGAAUGACUGCUGGAUUUUUUUCUUAAGAUUAAAAUGACUUCGAUGAAUAGGUAUUUAUGGGAAAACACUAGAAUCUUGACACAUACCUUAAUGCUGAAAACAUAUUUUAUUGGCUUCAUAAAUAAAGGGGAGGAACUUUAACAGAAGCCUUGAAAUUAAUCGCGGCUGAACACGAUGAUUUCUUGGCUGGCAUCUUUUGCAGGGAAUGGGUUGUGAACCCCUGCAUGGCUGGAGCCCUGGCAGAGAGCAGACCGGGCGUCAGAGCAGUGGCAUCACAGGAGCCUGCAUCUUGGAGACACGUGAGGGCUCAGAGCUUGGGGACGAGACAGUUAAUGCCUCCCCGUGCGAGCGAGUUAUAUCACACAGCGCCAGUGCGAGGUCAGCAGUCUGGCUGGAGCCCGGACGGGGCUGAGUGUGCCAAGCGAUGCCAGGCACCCAGGCAGCCCUGGAGAGGGUUUCCACAUCUAGGUUUCGUUCCGCAGCUUGGAAGAAGCUCUGACAAUCGCCUGGAGAAGGGAAACGAGAAGCUGCAUCCAUGAUUCCCAGACCAGCCACUUUGGAGCACGGACUUCUCCCAGCUGGAGCCCAUUGCUGCUGGGACAAAGGGAGCCCGGGCUGAGACCCAGCUCAGAUGACAGAGGGCUGUGGAUGCCCCUGGCACUUAGUGGAUGAGUGUGGCAGGGUGCUGGAUGCUCCACGUGCACGGAAGGAGUCUCAGCUUGGGACCGCACUUUACACCUCGCCCCUGCCUGGCAGGCGGCAAUUAGGUUGUGUUGGAAGACUGAAGAAGCUCUGUCCUCUCAGAAGCCUCUCCCAGGGGGAACUGCGUCUACUUGGGGAGAGAGAAGACGGCAGGCUGUUGGUCUCCUUUCAUAGAGCGAACUAUCAUGAGUUUGAGCAAACUCUGGAAGACGGUGAAGAGCAGGGAAGCCUGGCAUGCUGCAGGUCAUGAAGUCACAGUCAGACAUGACUGAAUAACAGCACCAUGCUGGGAAAUGGAGGAAGUUAAGUGUGUGCCGGUGUAGGUGUGCACACACGGCUGCAGGGUUGAUUCAUCAGGGCGCUGGCAACACGCUCUUAUCUUGUGCACAAGCUGAAGAAAUAGUGUUAAAGGAAGAGUCAUUUGGAUUUGUGUCUGAUGAUAAAACCUUUCUCUCGAUAUUUUGAUGAAUGAAUUUCUGUCCACCAGAUGAUAAGGAGAUCUAGACCUGUGGCAAGGAUCCUACCUAGUCCUUGUUUGUCCAAUUCAAAACUUGUAUUAGUAUAAAGUUGACUGUGUGUAUUUUAGAUAUUUUUCUAUUAAAUAUGGAAAAAAUAAACAUAUAUUUUCUGAUGUCUUGAAAGCUUGUCAUUGUCAUAUGAUAAAUCUUAUACACCCUCAGAGUUGGUGUUUCUUGCUUUCC
This 1414-nucleotide long non-coding RNA is filed under the name Capra hircus (goat). RNAcentral's name for it is "lncRNA (ENSCHIG00000004930.1)". Lineage: Eukaryota; Metazoa; Chordata; Mammalia; Artiodactyla; Bovidae. The record is from RNAcentral.